Molecule: unclassified non-coding RNA, 620 nt
Filed under: Octopus sinensis (East Asian common octopus)
Lineage: Eukaryota; Metazoa; Mollusca; Cephalopoda; Octopoda; Octopodidae
Description: zinc finger protein 271-like, transcript variant X5
Source: RNAcentral
UACACAAUUUUUCAGUGGCGGUAAGCUGGCCCGGUCGUUUAGCGCGUCGGACGGAAUUGCUUAGUUGUAUUUCGUCCGCCGUGACGUCCUGGGGAGGUUCGCUUCCCCGGGACGUCUUUGCGGUCGGAGUACUUCUGAGCAUUUUCGUUUGGCGCGCUAAUAUGGCAAGCUCGUCGCCUUUUCGAUCCCCUUUUGCAUUUGACCUAGUUUAAUCUGACCCCGUUUAUCCACCCCCAAAUCGAUAAUGACCAAGAGGAAGUGACGUCAGGGUCAGUGCCGAAAACUGAAACAAACAUUUAUUGGAAGGAAGUCUGUUGCUCGCAGAACUUCGUGUUUGGUACACCCUCAUGGAACUUUACCUUUAAUUAUGUUUUUAAGUAGAAGUCUGUCUUGUAUUGAUGUCAGGUGGCAGAGACGGAGCCAGAGAGUUUAACAAAUAGUGAAGAAAGGAAUAUAUAUAUAUAUUUGGUUGUCAAUGGGCAACCUGUGGCCUGACGAGGACUCCCAACGAAAAGUUAUGAGGUAUUGCUGUUGUUCUCAUCGAAGUCAACAAACUUUGGUCGGCUUCCAGAGAGUCGCGGCACUUUACUGGGUGGUAUGGAACUAAAGGCUCGGAAGAU